RNAcentral lists this ribosomal RNA (269 nucleotides) under uncultured bacterium. Its description in RNAcentral is "partial 16S ribosomal RNA". It matches the Rfam family "Bacterial small subunit ribosomal RNA", at positions 28 to 304 of the family's 1533-position model. The record is from RNAcentral.
GAUGAACGCUAGCGGCAGGCUUAACACAUGCAAGUCGAGGGGUAGGGCAGCAAUGCCUGAGACCGGCGCACGGGUGCGUAACGCGUAUGCAAUCUACCUUUUACAGAGGGAUAGCCCAGAGAAAUUUGGAUUAAUACCUCAUAGCAUAACGACCUGGCAUCAGGAUGUUAUUAAAGUCACAACGGUAAAGAUGAGCAUGCGUCCCAUUAGCUUGUUGGAAGGUAACGGCUUACCAAGGCUACGAUGGGUAGGGGUCCUGAGAGGGAGAU